UGGGGAAUAUUGGACAAUGGGCGAAAGCCUGAUCCAGCCAUGCCGCGUGUGUGAAGAAGGUCUUCGGAUUGUAAAGCACUUUAAGUUGGGAGGAAGGGUUGUAGAUUAAUACUCUGCAAUUUUGACGUUACCGACAGAAUAAGCACCGGCUAACUCUGUGCCAGCAGCCGCGGUAAUACAGAGGGUGCAAGCGUUAAUCGGAAUUACUGGGCGUAAAGCGCGCGUAGGUGGUUAGUUAAGUUGGAUGUGAAAUCCCCGGGCUCAACCUGGGAACUGCAUUCAAAACUGAUUGACUAGAGUAUGGUAGAGGGUGGUGGAAUUUCCUGUGUAGCGGUGAAAUGCGUAGAUAU
Molecule: ribosomal RNA, 350 nt
Filed under: uncultured bacterium
Lineage: Bacteria
Description: partial 16S ribosomal RNA
Rfam family: Bacterial small subunit ribosomal RNA
Source: RNAcentral